CCUACGGGUGGCAGCAGUGAGGAAUAUUGGUCAAUGGGCGUAAGCCUGAACCAGCCAAGCCGCGUGAGGGAUGAAGGUUCUAUGGAUCGUAAACCUCUUUUAUAAGGGAAUAAAGUGUGGUACGUGUCUUCUUCUGUAUGUACCUUAUGAAUAAGGAUCGGCUAACUCCGUGCCAGCAGCCGCGGUAAUCCGGAGGAUCCGAGCGUUAUCCGGAUUUAUUGGGUUUAAGGGGUGCGUAGGCGGCCUUUUAAGUCAGCUGUGAAAGUCUGUGGCUCAACCAUAGAAUUGCCGUUGAGACUGGGGGGCUGGAGUAUGUGUGAGGCAGGCGGAAUGCGUGGUGUAGCGGUGAAAUGCUUAGAUAUCACGCAGAACCCCGAUUGCGAAGGCAGCCUGCCAAGCCAUGACUGACGCUGAGGCACGAAAGCGUGGGGAUCAAACAGGAUUAGAUACCCCAGUAGUC
RNAcentral lists this ribosomal RNA (460 nucleotides) under uncultured bacterium. RNAcentral's name for it is "partial 16S ribosomal RNA". It matches the Rfam family "Bacterial small subunit ribosomal RNA", at positions 338 to 795 of the family's 1533-position model. The record is from RNAcentral.